Molecule: ribosomal RNA, 460 nt
Filed under: uncultured bacterium
Lineage: Bacteria
Description: partial 16S ribosomal RNA
Rfam family: Bacterial small subunit ribosomal RNA
Source: RNAcentral
CCUACGGGCGGCAGCAGUGAGGAAUAUUGGUCAAUGGCCGGAAGGCUGAACCAGCCAUGCCGCGUGAAGGUCAGUGCCCUAUGGGCGUUAAACUUCUUUUGUGCGGGAGCAAUAAUGGUCACGUGUGGCCAGACGAGAGUACCGUACGAAUAAGCAUCGGCUAACUCCGUGCCAGCAGCCGCGGUAAUACGGGGGAUGCAAGCGUUAUCCGGAUUUAUUGGGUUUAAAGGGUGCGUAGGCUGGGAGGUAAGUCAGCGGUGAAAUGCCCCCGCUCAACGGGGUGAAGUGCCAUUGAUACUGCCUUGCUGGAAUGCGGAUGCCGUGGGAGGAAUGUGUGGUGUAGCGGUGAAAUGCAUAGAUAUCACACAGAACACCGAUUGCGAAGGCAGCUCACGAAGCCGCGAUUGACGCUGAUGCACGAAAGCGUGGGUAUCAAACAGGAUUAGAUACCCUAGUAGUC